GGGUGAGUAACACGUAGGUAACCUGCCCCGGAGCGGGGGAUAACAUUUGGAAACAGAUGCUAAUACCGCAUAACAACAAAAGCCACAUGGCUUUUGUUUGAAAGAUGGCUUUGGCUAUCACUCUGGGAUGGACCUGCGGUGCAUUAGCUAGUUGGUAAGGUAACGGCUUACCAAGGCGAUGAUGCAUAGCCGAGUUGAGAGACUGAUCGGCCACAAUGGAACUGAGACACGGUCCAUACUCCUACGGGAGGCAGCAGUAGGGAAUCUUCCACAAUGGGCGCAAGCCUGAUGGAGCAACACCGCGUGAGUGAAGAAGGGUUUCGGCUCGUAAAGCUCUGUUGUUGGAGAAGAACGUGCGUGAGAGUAACUGUUCACGCAGUGACGGUAUCCAACCAGAAAGUCACGGCUAACUACGUGCCAGCAGCCGCGGUAAUACGUAGGUGGCAAGCGUUAUCCGGAUUUAUUGGGCGUAAAGCGAGCGCAGGCGGUUGCUUAGGUCUGAUGUGAAAGCCUUCGGCUUAACCGAAGAAGUGCAUCGGAAACCGGGCGACUUGAGUGCAGAAGAGGACAGUGGAACUCCAUGUGUAGCGGUGGAAUGCGUAGAUAUAUGGAAGAACACCAGUGGCGAAGGCGGCUGUCUGGUCUGCAACUGACGCUGAGGCUCGAAAGCAUGGGUAGCGAACAGGAUUAGAUACCCUGGUAGUCCAUGCCGUAAACGAU
RNAcentral lists this ribosomal RNA (720 nucleotides) under uncultured bacterium. RNAcentral describes it as "bacterial SSU rRNA". It matches the Rfam family "Bacterial small subunit ribosomal RNA", at positions 104 to 810 of the family's 1533-position model. The record is from RNAcentral.